This 253-nucleotide ribosomal RNA is filed under the name uncultured bacterium. Its description in RNAcentral is "partial 16S ribosomal RNA". It matches the Rfam family "Bacterial small subunit ribosomal RNA", at positions 524 to 776 of the family's 1533-position model. The record is from RNAcentral.
UACGUAGGGUGCAAGCGUUGUCCGGAAUUAUUGGGCGUAAAGAGCUCGUAGGCGGUUUGUCGCGUCUGCUGUGAAAACGCGAGGCUCAACCUCGCGCCUGCAGUGGGUACGGGCAGACUAGAGUGCGGUAGGGGAGAUUGGAAUUCCUGGUGUAGCGGUGGAAUGCGCAGAUAUCAGGAGGAACACCGGUGGCGAAGGCGGGUCUCUGGGCAGUAACUGACGCUGAGGAGCGAAAGCGUGGGGAGCGAGCAGG